This 378-nucleotide ribosomal RNA is filed under the name uncultured fungus. RNAcentral describes it as "eukaryotic LSU rRNA". It matches the Rfam family "Eukaryotic large subunit ribosomal RNA", at positions 40 to 398 of the family's 3401-position model. The record is from RNAcentral. Lineage: Eukaryota; Fungi.
AUAUCAAUAAGCGGAGGAAAAGAAACUAACAAGGAUUCCCCUAGUAACUGCGAGUGAAGCGGGAAAAGCUCAAAUUUAAAAUCUGGUCAGUCUUUGGCCUGUCCGAGUUGUAAUCUUAGAGAAGUCGUCUAUCCGCGCUGGACCGUGCUACAAGUCUCCUGGAAUGGAGCGUCAGUAGAGGGUGAGAAUCCCGUCUUUGACAUCGGACUGCACCAGGGCUUUUGUGAUGCGCUCUCGAAAGAGUCGAGUUGUUUGGGAAUGCAGCUCAAAAUGGGUGGUGAAACUCCAUCUAAAGCUAAAUAUUGGCGAGAGACCGAUAGCGAACAAGUACCGUGAGGGAAAGAUGAAAAGCACUUUGGAAAGAGAGUGAAACAGUAC